This 1372-nucleotide ribosomal RNA is filed under the name Curtobacterium oceanosedimentum. RNAcentral's name for it is "bacterial SSU rRNA". It matches the Rfam family "Bacterial small subunit ribosomal RNA". The record is from RNAcentral. Lineage: Bacteria; Bacillati; Actinomycetota; Actinomycetes; Micrococcales; Microbacteriaceae.
CAAGUCGAACGAUGAUGCCCAGCUUGCUGGGUGGAUUAGUGGCGAACGGGUGAGUAACACGUGAGUAACCUGCCCCUGACUCUGGGAUAAGCGUUGGAAACGACGUCUAAUACUGGAUAUGACUGCCGGCCGCAUGGUCUGGUGGUGGAAAGAUUUUUUGGUUGGGGAUGGACUCGCGGCCUAUCAGCUUGUUGGUGAGGUAAUGGCUCACCAAGGCGACGACGGGUAGCCGGCCUGAGAGGGUGACCGGCCACACUGGGACUGAGACACGGCCCAGACUCCUACGGGAGGCAGCAGUGGGGAAUAUUGCACAAUGGGCGAAAGCCUGAUGCAGCAACGCCGCGUGAGGGAUGACGGCCUUCGGGUUGUAAACCUCUUUUAGUAGGGAAGAAGCGAAAGUGACGGUACCUGCAGAAAAAGCACCGGCUAACUACGUGCCAGCAGCCGCGGUAAUACGUAGGGUGCAAGCGUUGUCCGGAAUUAUUGGGCGUAAAGAGCUCGUAGGCGGUUUGUCGCGUCUGCUGUGAAAUCCCGAGGCUCAACCUCGGGCUUGCAGUGGGUACGGGCAGACUAGAGUGCGGUAGGGGAGAUUGGAAUUCCUGGUGUAGCGGUGGAAUGCGCAGAUAUCAGGAGGAACACCGAUGGCGAAGGCAGAUCUCUGGGCCGUAACUGACGCUGAGGAGCGAAAGCGUGGGGAGCGAACAGGAUUAGAUACCCUGGUAGUCCACGCCGUAAACGUUGGGCGCUAGAUGUAGGGACCUUUCCACGGUUUCUGUGUCGUAGCUAACGCAUUAAGCGCCCCGCCUGGGGAGUACGGCCGCAAGGCUAAAACUCAAAGGAAUUGACGGGGGCCCGCACAAGCGGCGGAGCAUGCGGAUUAAUUCGAUGCAACGCGAAGAACCUUACCAAGGCUUGACAUACACCGGAAACGGCCAGAGAUGGUCGCCCCCUUGUGGUCGGUGUACAGGUGGUGCAUGGUUGUCGUCAGCUCGUGUCGUGAGAUGUUGGGUUAAGUCCCGCAACGAGCGCAACCCUCGUUCUAUGUUGCCAGCGCGUUAUGGCGGGGACUCAUAGGAGACUGCCGGGGUCAACUCGGAGGAAGGUGGGGAUGACGUCAAAUCAUCAUGCCCCUUAUGUCUUGGGCUUCACGCAUGCUACAAUGGCCGGUACAAAGGGCUGCGAUACCGUAAGGUGGAGCGAAUCCCAAAAAGCCGGUCUCAGUUCGGAUUGAGGUCUGCAACUCGACCUCAUGAAGUCGGAGUCGCUAGUAAUCGCAGAUCAGCAACGCUGCGGUGAAUACGUUCCCGGGCCUUGUACACACCGCCCGUCAAGUCAUGAAAGUCGGUAACACCCGAAGCCGGUGGCCUAACCC